Molecule: ribosomal RNA, 497 nt
Filed under: uncultured bacterium
Lineage: Bacteria
Description: partial 16S ribosomal RNA
Rfam family: Bacterial small subunit ribosomal RNA
Source: RNAcentral
GACGAACGCUGGCGGCGUGCCUAAUACAUGCAAGUUGAGCGCUGAAGGUUGGUACUUGUACCAACUGGAUGAGCAGCGAACGGGUGAGUAACGCGUGGGGAAUCUGCCUUUGAGCGGGGGACAACAUUUGGAAACGAAUGCUAAUACCGCAUAAAAACUUUAAACACAAGUUUUAAGUUUGAAAGAUGCAAUUGCAUCACUCAAAGAUGAUCCCGCGUUGUAUUAGCUAGUUGGUGAGGUAAAGGCUCACCAAGGCGAUGAUACAUAGCCGACCUGAGAGGGUGAUCGGCCACAUUGGGACUGAGACACGGCCCAAACUCCUACGGGAGGCAGCAGUAGGGAAUCUUCGGCAAUAGACGAAAGUCUGACCGAGCAACGCCGCGUGAGUGAAGAAGGUUUUCGGAUCGUAAAACUCUGUUGGUAGAGAAGAACGUUGGCGAGAGUGGAAAGCUCAUCAAGUGACGGUAACUACCCAGAAAGGGACGGCUAACUACGUG